UGGCCCAAAGGUUGGUAGACUAGUUGGUA
RNAcentral lists this non-coding RNA (29 nucleotides) under Mus musculus (house mouse). The record is from RNAcentral. Lineage: Eukaryota; Metazoa; Chordata; Mammalia; Rodentia; Muridae.